RNAcentral lists this ribosomal RNA (250 nucleotides) under uncultured bacterium. RNAcentral's name for it is "partial 16S ribosomal RNA". It matches the Rfam family "Bacterial small subunit ribosomal RNA", at positions 524 to 773 of the family's 1533-position model. The record is from RNAcentral.
UACGUAGGUGGCAAGCGUUGUCCGGAUUUACUGGGUGUAAAGGGCGUGCAGCCGGGAAGGCAAGUCAGAUGUGAAAUCUGGAGGCUCAACCUCCAAACUGCAUUUGAAACUGCUUUUCUUGAGUGUCGGAGAGGUAAUCGGAAUUCCUUGUGUAGCGGUGAAAUGCGUAGAUAUAAGGAAGAACACCAGUGGCGAAGGCGGAUUACUGGACGAUAACUGACGGUGAGGCGCGAAAGCGUGGGGAGCAAAC